Molecule: transfer RNA, 82 nt
Filed under: Paragonimus westermani
Lineage: Eukaryota; Metazoa; Platyhelminthes; Trematoda; Plagiorchiida; Troglotrematidae
Description: tRNA-Asn
Source: RNAcentral
GGCUUUGUAGCUUGGCUGGUAAAGCGGUUGGCUUGUUGAGGCAUACUGUGUCUGUCGCUGGCUCGAAUCCAGCCGAAAGCCU